AGCUCGUGUCGUGAGAUGUUGGGUUAAGUCCCGCAACGAGCGCAACCCUUGCCAUUAGUUGCUACGAAAGGGCACUCUAAUGGGACUGCCGGUGACAAACCGGAGGAAGGUGGGGAUGACGUCAGGUCAUCAUGGCCCUUAUGGGUAGGGCUACACACGUCAUACAAUGGCCGGUACAGAGGGCUGCCAACCCGCGAGGGGGAGCCAAUCCCAGAAAACCGGUCGUAGUCCGGAUCGUAGUCUGCAACUCGACUGCGUGAAGUCGGAAUCGCUAGUAAUCGCGGAUCAG
RNAcentral lists this ribosomal RNA (289 nucleotides) under uncultured bacterium. RNAcentral's name for it is "partial 16S ribosomal RNA". It matches the Rfam family "Bacterial small subunit ribosomal RNA", at positions 1057 to 1352 of the family's 1533-position model. The record is from RNAcentral.